UCUCUGUAAUCAAUUCCAGAUCACACUAUACAGAUGUGUUUGUUUUCUGACUAACAAUGAGAAUAAAAUGUUUCCGCAGCUAGGAAAAAGGCUUUGGAAAGGAAGUAAGAUGUAACUGGUACAAGCUGAGACACCCCGUGUGGCCAGUAUGAUCUGUAUACAUGGUGGACAUAGUCUAUCAGCAGUCCAGAAUUCUAAAAGAAUUAUGACAUCCCUCUUCCAUGCGAUAGUCAGUCAUCUCAUCCAAAAUGCUCAUAAUAUCUGGUUAUUACUGUAAUCCUCUUGCUCUUUUGUGAUAGGUGCCAUGUGAUCUUUAAUGACUACACUGGGGGGGGCUAUUUGGUCCUGAGGGAAGAGUGCCCCCUACUGGCCCCCUGCCAACUUAGUUAAUGGAAGUAGAAAACGCUGUCCAAGGCCUCCCUCCAGAAUAUUCCAUUAAGAAAUCUCUAACCUGAGGCACCGUUUCUCAUGAGAAAUCAGCCAGCAAACUGCACAUUCUGUAUGUCAGAACCACUUCCCGAAGCCAACGCUCUUCAGUGAACCCUUAGAGGCCGAAGUGGCGGUCCGGCCGAAGACUGGAGUGUGAGAACAGAAGCCGGGAGACGGGGAGCGAGCGAGGCACAGCCCUCAGAUUGAAUGGAUCACAGUCCAUUACCUCUCCCAGCACCAAUUAGAUUUGGAGUCGCUUCCUGUUAAUGCUUACCCUUGCAGGUCCGCGCUAAAUUAAAUACUAGAUCUUCAUUG
Long non-coding RNA from Anguilla rostrata (American eel), 744 nucleotides. RefSeq lists it as uncharacterized. The record is from RefSeq and is a predicted model, not a curated record. Lineage: Eukaryota; Metazoa; Chordata; Actinopteri; Anguilliformes; Anguillidae. The transcript is spliced from 3 exons.